AGUCGAGCGAGGUUACUGUUUUGGAUCCCUUCGGGGUGAAGAAGCUUUAACCUAGCGGCGGACGGGUGAGUAACGCGUGGGUAACCUACCCCAAAGUCCGGGAUAACAGCGGGAAACCGCUGCUAAUACCGGAUGCCUUUACCUUGGGGCAUCUUGAGGUAAAGAAAGGCAACGCUUUGGGAUGGGCCCGCGUCCCAUUAGCUAGUUGGUGAGGUAACGGCUCACCAAGGCGACGAUGGGUAGCCGGCCUGAGAGGGUGGACGGCCACACUGGGACUGAGACACGGCCCAGACUCCUACGGGAGGCAGCAGUAGGGAAUAUUGCGCAAUGGACGGAAGUCUGACGCAGCGACGCCGCGUGAGCGAUGAAGGUCUUCGGAUCGUAAAGCUCUGUCCUUGGGGAAGAAGGCGAAAGCUUGACGGUACCCAAGAAGAAAGCCCCGGCUAACUACGUGCCAGCAGCCGCGGUAAUACGUAGGGGGCGAGCGUUGUCCGGAAUUACUGGGCGUAAAGGGUGCGUAGGCGGCCCUUUAAGUCGGAUGUGAAAGCCCGCGGCUUAACCGCGGAAUGGCAUUCGAAACUGGAGGGCUUGAGUGUCGGAGAGGGUAGUGGAAUUCCCAGUGUAGCGGUGAAAUGCGUAGAUAUUGGGAGGAACACCAGUGGCGAA
RNAcentral lists this ribosomal RNA (666 nucleotides) under uncultured bacterium. Its description in RNAcentral is "bacterial SSU rRNA". It matches the Rfam family "Bacterial small subunit ribosomal RNA", at positions 60 to 719 of the family's 1533-position model. The record is from RNAcentral.